RNAcentral lists this ribosomal RNA (283 nucleotides) under unidentified marine bacterioplankton. Its description in RNAcentral is "partial 16S ribosomal RNA". It matches the Rfam family "Bacterial small subunit ribosomal RNA", at positions 29 to 339 of the family's 1533-position model. The record is from RNAcentral. RNAcentral also lists the same sequence under 1 other name.
AACGAACGCUGGCGGCAGGCCUAACACAUGCAAGUCGAGCGAGAUCUUCGGAUCUAGCGGCGGACGGGUGAGUAACGCGUGGGAACGUACCCUUUUCUACGGAAUAGCCUCGGGAAACUGAGAGUAAUACCGUAUACGCCCUUCGGGGGAAAGAUUUAUCGGAGAAGGAUCGGCCCGCGUUGGAUUAGGUAGUUGGUGGGGUAAUGGCCUACCAAGCCGACGAUCCAUAGCUGGUUUGAGAGGAUGAUCAGCCACACUGGGACUGAGACACGGCCCAGACUCC